RNAcentral lists this ribosomal RNA (393 nucleotides) under uncultured bacterium. RNAcentral's name for it is "bacterial SSU rRNA". It matches the Rfam family "Bacterial small subunit ribosomal RNA", at positions 521 to 916 of the family's 1533-position model. The record is from RNAcentral.
UAAUACGGAGGGUGCAAGCGUUAUCCGGAUUCACUGGGUUUAAAGGGUGCGUAGGUGGGUAUGUAAGUCAGUGGUGAAAUCCCCGAGCUUAACUUGGGAACUGCCGUUGAUACUAUAUAUCUUGAAUGUCGUAGAGGUAAGCGGAAUAUGUCAUGUAGCGGUGAAAUGCUUAGAGAUGACAUAGAACACCAAUUGCGAAGGCAGCUUGCUAUGCGAUUAUUGACACUGAGGCACGAAAGCGUGGGUAGCAAACAGGAUUAGAUACCCUGGUAGUCCACGCCCUAAACUAUGGAUACUCGACAUACGCGAUACACUGUGUGUGUCUGAGCGAAAGCAUUAAGUAUCCCACCUGGGAAGUACGACCGCAAGGUUGAAACUCAAAUGAAUUGACGG